Molecule: non-coding RNA, 47 nt
Organism: Rhabditophanes sp. KR3021
Lineage: Eukaryota; Metazoa; Nematoda; Chromadorea; Rhabditida; Alloionematidae
Source: Rfam
AAAAAGGUCUUUAUCAAGGCCAUCUAUCAUAUGCUUAAAAGAUUUUG